CCUAGUCUUCAAGGAUAAUUGUCUCUACGCAAUGAACUCAUGGCCCUUGAUGAAUUGCUCCAGAUAUUUUGAAUUGAUACACAAAUCACACAAUCAGUUUCAUAUUUUUGUAUACACAUGGAGAAUCUAUCCUCGGUAAAUAGUGGCAGGAAGGUUGGAAAAAGGUCAGCUUGAGCUACUGAAUUGUAGAGUCAUCCAGAGUAGACAGAGGUAGGUUAAACCCAAUCAUUCAAGCGCCAUAUAAAUGGAGUAUAGAUCCUCAAGGAAAUAAGAACAUAAAAUCAAGCAAAUGAUACAUGUGCAAGCAGACAAACAAUUAACUUCAAUGCUAUACUAUUCACAGAUGCUUCACUAAAUAACUUCCUUCCCACAAGAUGAAAACAAUAAUGCAUGAUGGUACUAGUGGAUGACACUGAGCACCUGAAAUUCUCAGCCAGUUGUACUUGACGGAUACCCAUUAGAUUUGACUUGGAAAUUUUACAGAAUUCACAAGUAAAUCUCACUACAGUAGGCAUUCCAUCAAGAAGAUUAACAAUAGAUUUUUAUAAAGUUUAAAACCUGGCCAAUAAGAGGAAAAUAUAGCUGUGCAAUAUAUAAUUUAUCUUCAGGCUUUUGGUAACGAGCAUCAAACUCAUGCUUGCAUAAGAUAACUACUAACAUUCUUGCUG
This 668-nucleotide unclassified non-coding RNA is filed under the name Hevea brasiliensis (rubber tree). The record is from RNAcentral. Lineage: Eukaryota; Viridiplantae; Streptophyta; Magnoliopsida; Malpighiales; Euphorbiaceae.